RNAcentral lists this long non-coding RNA (546 nucleotides) under Manihot esculenta (cassava). Its description in RNAcentral is "long non-coding RNA (MESC_LNC007836)". The record is from RNAcentral. Lineage: Eukaryota; Viridiplantae; Streptophyta; Magnoliopsida; Malpighiales; Euphorbiaceae.
GACACUCAUGGUGUCGAACUCCCCAUUGUUCGACACUAUGAGUGUCGAACUAGCGUGUUCGACAGUAUGACUGUCGAACACGCUCCGUUGACACACAGAAUCCGAAAAUAUUUUCGGAUUCUACAUGAACUGAUAAUUAUUUUUUAAAUUGUGCAUGAAUCGAAAAAAUGCUCCCCUGCUAGCUCCCAGCGCUACCAACCAGCUCCCAGCAGAUUUUUGCCCCUCGUUGAACCUCAUUUUGCCCAGUAACUUGCCCAGCUUUGCGGCAUCACCAAAUCUAUUUGGCCCACGUCCCGCACCAGCGUGAACCUCAUUUGGGCAGCAGCUCACACAAAUUUUCAGCACCAAUCUUGGCAACCACAACAAAGAAUUUUUGGAUAUUUUGGGAGCCUUUUGUGGAGGUGUGACAUUAUCUAUGAGCCCUAGGCGCAUCAACACGUUCCCUGAGCUUCACCGCCGCUUUCUCUGCACUCAUCUAAAGCCUCUUGCCACUCCUCCCCCUGCAUGCCCUGAGCAGAUUACAUUUCUUGUGCUGCACGCCUCCUU